RNAcentral lists this unclassified non-coding RNA (300 nucleotides) under uncultured Pleosporales. RNAcentral's name for it is "sequence contains ITS1". The stretch from base 1 to 105 matches the Rfam family "5.8S ribosomal RNA", at positions 50 to 154 of the family's 154-position model. Lineage: Eukaryota; Fungi; Ascomycota; Dothideomycetes; Pleosporales. The record is from RNAcentral.
GAAAUGCGAUAAGUAGUGUGAAUUGCAGAAUUCAGUGAAUCAUCGAAUCUUUGAACGCACAUUGCGCCCCUUGGUAUUCCAUGGGGCAUGCCUGUUCGAGCGUCAUUUGUACCCUCAAGCUCUGCUUGGUGUUGGGUGUUUGUCCCGCUUUGCGUGUGGACUCGCCUUAAAGCAAUUGGCAGCCGGCAUAUUGUCUCGGAGCGCAGCACAUUUUGCGCUUCCAGCAUGAAUGUUGGUAUCCAGUAAGCCUUUACAUUUGCUCUUGACCUCGGAUCAGGUAGGGAUACCCGCUGAACUUAA